Molecule: ribosomal RNA, 1212 nt
Filed under: Bacillota bacterium
Lineage: Bacteria; Bacillati; Bacillota
Description: partial 23S ribosomal RNA
Rfam family: Bacterial large subunit ribosomal RNA
Source: RNAcentral
CUAGGCUCUUGGAGGCGAAGAAAGACGUGGUAAGCUGCGAAAAGCUCCGGGGAUUUGCAAACAAGAUUUGAUCCGGAGAUUUCUGAAUGGGACAACCCGCUGGAUAGAAGAUCCAGCAUCCGGUAACGGAGGCCAACCCUCUGAACUGAAACAUCUUAGUAGGAGGAGGAAAAGAAAGAAACAUCGAUUUCCUAAGUAGCGGCGAGCGAACGGGAAGCAGCCUAAACCGGUUUUGUUACGGCAAAGCCGGGGUUGUAGGACUGCGACAUUCAAAUGACAACGAACUGGAAUGAUCUGGAAAGUUCAUCCAUAGAGAGUGAAAGGCUCGUACAGGUAAGUAUGUCAUGCGAUAGCAGUAUCCUGAGUAGGGCGGGACACGAGGAAUCCUGUCUGAAUCCGCCGGGACCACCCGGUAAGGCUAAAUACUCCCAAGAGACCGAUAGUGAACCAGUACCGUGAGGGAAAGGUGAAAAGAACCCCGAACAGGGGAGUGAAAUGGAAGCACGGAGCCGAAGCGAAAGCGAGUCUGAACAGGGCGUUUAGUCAGUGGUUGUAGACGCGAAACCUUGCGAUCUACCCUUGAGCAGGAUGAAGGUUGGGUAAAGCCAACUGGAGGUCCGAACGAAUAAGCGUUGAAAAGCUUCUCGAUGACUUGAGGGUAGGAGUGAAAGGCCAAUCAAGCUGGGAAAUAGCUCGUACUCCCCGAAAUGCCUUUAGGGGCAGCGUUGUAAUAAAGAGUCUACUGGAGGUAGAGCUACUGAUUGGAUGCGGGGGCUUCACCGCCUACCAAAUCCCGACAAACUCCGAAUGCCAGUAGUAUGAUUUACAGCAGUGAGCCACCGGGUGCUAAUGUCCGGUGACAAAAGAGGAACAACUCAGACCAGCAACUAAGGUCCCCAAGCGUAUGCUAAGUUGAACUAACGAUGUUUUGUUGCAUAGACAGCUAGGAUGUUAGCUUGGAAGCAGCUAUUCAUUCAAAGAGUGCGUAACAGCUCACUAGUCGAGCGACAAAGCGUGGAUAAUAAACGGGCAUCAAGCAUACCACCGAAGUUCUGGGCGCGAAAGCGCGGUAGGGGAGCAUUCCAUUCAGCGUUGAAGCAGCGUCGUGAGAUGUUGUGGAGCGUAUGGAAAAGCAAAUGUAGGCAUGAGUAACGAUAAUGCGGGAGAGUAACCCGCACACCGCAAGACCAAGGUUUCCUGAUCAACGCUAAU